Molecule: ribosomal RNA, 305 nt
Filed under: uncultured bacterium
Lineage: Bacteria
Description: bacterial SSU rRNA
Rfam family: Bacterial small subunit ribosomal RNA
Source: RNAcentral
GCGCCUACGGGACGCAGCAGUGGGGGAUAUUGCACAAUGGGGGGAACCCUGAUGCAGCGACGCCGCGUGGGUGAAGGAGCGUUUCGGCGCGUAAAGCCCUAUCGGCAGGGAAGAAGAUGACGGUACCUGACCAAGAAGCCCCGGCUAACUACGUGCCAGCAGCCGCGGUAAUACGUAGGGGGCAAGCGUUAUCCGGAUUUACUGGGUGUAAAGGGAGCGUAAACGGUGCAGCAAGUCUGAUGUGAAAGGUCGGGGCCCAACCCCGGGACUGCAUUGGAAACUGUUGAACUGGAGUACAGGAGAGG